Molecule: long non-coding RNA, 887 nt
Filed under: Triticum aestivum (bread wheat)
Lineage: Eukaryota; Viridiplantae; Streptophyta; Magnoliopsida; Poales; Poaceae
Description: long non-coding RNA (TAES_LNC000825)
Source: RNAcentral
GGAUCGAGCAAGGCGACACUGCUCAGCUAGGGAUUUUCUUCCAUGGCCGCCAAAUCAAAGGUCUAAGUCCCAGGUGAAUAUGUGCUCCUUUUGAAUCCUCUCUCUCUCUCUAGCAUAUCCCCUUACCAUGAUUCAUAUUUUGUGCCUCAAUUUCGUUCCUACAAGUGAUGAAUCAUCUCUUUACCACAUUCAUGCCCCAUGUUUGGUGGCCUUUUUGUGCUUGCUCCGUCUAUUUUACAUUUUAAAUUGAUUGUACCGGGUGCUACAACGACGAUGGAUUGUAUUCUAACCCUUGUGAUUAACUGAUGUCUGAACCAUGCUAUAAAUGCUAGCAUCCAGUCAGGAUUUAUUCAAAGCAUGAUCUUUGUUUAAGUAUGUCAGUAAAAAAGCUCAUGUAUGAUUCUGACCUGAAUAUGUAGGUGCAAUCUCACACAAAGGAAGAGACAAGAUAAUUUGAUGACAAUGACUCAUGAAUGGAAAUAAAACACCAGCGUGAAUGAUUUGCUCUUUUUUCCUAGCUUAAGUUAUUGAUUGAGAUGGAGAUUCAUGCUGUUAUUCUAAUUUUACACCCUUGUGUUCUUGGCAAAUAUUACAUUAUUUGGUUCAUAUGAAUGAGCACUUUUGAUGUUGUCUGCUUUCCUGAAUGAACCGUUGAUUUAGAACUACAUGACAGAGUCUUGUUGCCAUAUGUGGUGUCCUUUCAUGUUCAUAUAAAUCUGCAACAUGGGUGUUACUCAUGUUUCCUCAACCAACUUAUAGUCACUUUUGACUGGCAAGUGUAUCUUAACGGGCAUUCUGAUCUGUCUUUUUUGUUAGCUGCAACUUCAAAAGCGCAGUGAUGAUAUUUUCUUACAGUUACUUCAAUUACAACACUUGGUUUAUCUUUA